RNAcentral lists this ribosomal RNA (301 nucleotides) under uncultured bacterium. RNAcentral describes it as "partial 16S ribosomal RNA". It matches the Rfam family "Bacterial small subunit ribosomal RNA", at positions 509 to 809 of the family's 1533-position model. The record is from RNAcentral.
CAGUAGCCGCGGUAAUACGUAGGGUGCGAGCGUUAAUCGGAAUUACUGGGCGUAAAGCGUGCGCAGGCGGUUGUGUAAGACAGGCGUGAAAUCCCCGGGCUUAACCUGGGAACUGCGCUUGUGACUGCACAGCUAGAGUAUGGCAGAGGGGGGUGGAAUUCCACGUGUAGCAGUGAAAUGCGUAGAGAUGUGGAGGAACACCGAUGGCGAAGGCAGCCCCCUGGGCCAAUACUGACGCUCAUGCACGAAAGCGUGGGGAGCAAACAGGAUUAGAUACCCGAGUAGUCCCUGUCUCUUAUAA